UGGGGAAUAUUGCACAAUGGAGGGAACUCUGAUGCAGCGACGCCGCGUGAGUGAUGAAGGAAUUCGUUUCGUAAAACUCUGUUCUAUGGGAAGAAAAGGACUGUACCAUAGGAGAAAGCUCCGGCUAAAUACGUGCCAGCAGCCGCGGUAAUACGUAUGGAGCGAGCGUUGUCCGGUAUUAUUGGGCGUAAAGGGUGCGCAGGCGGCUUUACAAGUUGGAUGUGAAAUAUUGUGGCUCAACCACAAACGUGCAUCCAAAACUGCAAAGCUUGAGUUAAGGAGAGGUAAGUGGAAUUCCUGGUGUAGCGGUGGAAUGCGUAGAUAUCAGGAGGAAUACCGGUGGCGAAGGCGACUUACUGGACUUAAACUGACGCUCAGGCACGAAAGCGUGGGGAGCAAACAGG
RNAcentral lists this ribosomal RNA (404 nucleotides) under Fusobacteriota bacterium. RNAcentral describes it as "Fusobacteria bacterium partial 16S ribosomal RNA". It matches the Rfam family "Bacterial small subunit ribosomal RNA", at positions 355 to 776 of the family's 1533-position model. The record is from RNAcentral. Lineage: Bacteria; Fusobacteriati; Fusobacteriota.